This 959-nucleotide ribosomal RNA is filed under the name Streptococcus sp. Its description in RNAcentral is "bacterial SSU rRNA". It matches the Rfam family "Bacterial small subunit ribosomal RNA", at positions 1 to 891 of the family's 1533-position model. Lineage: Bacteria; Bacillati; Bacillota; Bacilli; Lactobacillales; Streptococcaceae. The record is from RNAcentral.
AAUCACCUGUAGACUUGCACCCUCGCUCCGUAAGUCGUAACAAGGUAACCGUAGUUCCGAUCCUGGCUCAGGACGAACGCUGGCGGCGUGCCUAAUACAUGCAAGUGGAACGCACAGAUGAUACGUAGCUUGCUACAAUUAUCUGUGAGUCGCGAACGGGUGAGUAACGCGUAGGUAACCUAGCUUAUAGCGGGGGAUAACUAUUGGAAACGAUAGCUAAUACCGCAUAAAAGUGGUUGACCCAUGUUAACCAUUUAAAAGGAGCAACAGCUCCACUAUGAGAUGGACCUGCGUGGAUUUAGCUAGUUGGUAGGGUAAAGGCCUACCAAGGCGACGAUACAUAGCCGACCUGAGAGGGUGAACGGCCACACUGGGACUGAGACCUCGGAUAGACUCCUACGGGAGGCAGCAGUAGGGAAUCUUCGGCAAUGGGGGGAACCCUGACCGAUCAUCGCCGCGUGAGUGAAGAAGGUUUUCGGAUCGUAAAGCUCUGUUGUUAGAGUCAUACAGUGAUGGGAGUGGAAAGUCCAUCAUGUGACGGUAACUAACCAGAAAGGGACGGCUAACUACGUGCCAGCAGCCGCGGUAAUACGUAGGGGUCGAGCGUCUACCGGAUUUAUUGGGCGUAAAGCGAGCGCAGGGGAUUUGAUAAGUCUGAAGUUAAAGGCAGUGGCUUAACCUAUCGAUGCUUUUCAUACUGUUAAACUUGAGUGCAGAAGGGGAGAGUGGAAUUCCAUGUGUAGCGGUGAAAUGCGUAGAUAUAUGGAGGAACAUAUAUGGCGAAAGCGGCUCUCUGGGAUGUAACUGACGCUGAGGCUCGAAAGCGUGGGGAGCAAACAGGGCAUUCUAUUUUGGUAGUCCACGCCGUAAACGCUUGUAGCUAGGUGUUAGGCCCUUUCCGGGGCUUAGUGCCGGAGCUAACGCAUUAAGCAUUCCGCCUGGAGAGCAAUCCAACGCUA